GGGCACCUCUCAAUUGGCAGG
This 21-nucleotide microRNA is filed under the name Corchorus olitorius. Its description in RNAcentral is "aly-miR399b-". The record is from RNAcentral. Lineage: Eukaryota; Viridiplantae; Streptophyta; Magnoliopsida; Malvales; Malvaceae.